UACAAAAGUUGUAUAUCUUUUUGUUACCUACAACUUUACCAUUUAACUUUUUUCCAUAGGACUUGCAAUUUCACCGAAAAUUGCGAUAAACCGAUUUUUUCUUCCGAAGAGGGUGUGGGGAGGGGGGACUCCCCACUUCCCUAACUCGGAUGGAGUGGAAUUUAUGUUUUCUUCCAUUUUUAGCUUAUCCAUUCUACUAUAUUAUUAUUUGCUUCAAAAGUUAUUUACCCUAGUCUACUCUGCGAAAACUUCCAUAAGAUUCAAUGUGUUGCAAUGCGCUCUUAACUUAAUUGUUUUUAUUUAACAUGCCUUGAAAUAUAAUAAAUAUAAUAUAUCGUAUGUAAAGUUUAGUUUUGGGAGCUGAGACCUAAAGAAAAGUCAAGUAGAGGUGAAAUUGAGAAAGGAUAUUCUUAGUACAAGUUCAGACUGACCUUGUACUAAGAAAAUUGAAAGACAAAGGUUACUUUGUCUGGGUGUACGCCGAAUAAAUACUAAUGUAAUAUGCUAACCAGUAUUGUAAAUAAACGUCACAAUAUUUUUAUACAAACGUCAUUAAUAUGUGACGUAGUGAUUUAGCAUUAGGACUUAAGAAUAUAACCUGUAUCUUAGAAUAGGAGAGAGCAUUAAUAAACGGAACGUGUAACAAUCAACAUCUUGUUUAAUUCGUCCAAGUCCCGUCCUUACAAAUACGCUAUUUUUUUUUUCGAAGUGUCAACAAUCGCAGUGGUGUGAAAUAUCUUAUUGAAGAUAAACAUUGCUUCAACAAGAGAAAAUCAUAAUAACCAUGUCGCCUAACUUUAAGCUUACAUAGCACAGCUCUACGAGAAAUGGCUGAACAAUGUGUAAGAUUACGUAAAAGCUAAUAAACUGUUUGCAGAGAAAACUAAAGAACGACAAAGCGGAUAAAUUGCAACGUUCGCCACAAUUCAGCAACAGCCAGAUUAACGGCCAAGAGUUUGCAAAGGUUGAGAAAGAGUGCUUACGGAUGAGAAGGUUCUCUGAAUUCUUAUACCUACCUAUGCAGUAAAAAGGGUUACAUAUGCAGUAAAUUGGUCUCAAAAAUCCAGAUAAUUAAAUAUUUAUCAAGUUACUGUAGAAAAGAAGUUACCUCCAUUACCCCAGCAACAGAUACGCUGACGCAAAAAUGUAAAUAACGAUAUUCUAUUACUUGAACAAACUGAAAGAAAAACAAGAAAACUGCUAAAGGCGGCAAGAAAAGCGUUGCAUUUUCUCCACCUUCAAGAACAAAGUACUUGUGAAAAAACAAUAAUGUUCAAGCAACAAAAAACAAUUAAAGGUUUGAGUGGACUCGACUUGCCGUAGUCAGAAAGAAGUCCUGGCGGUAUAAUAAGGCUCUUGAAAACCUGAAGAUGAGACAGACAAACGUCGUUGACAUUUGUGGGAAGUGCAAUUCUAGCGGGAACGAGAUGAGCUGAUUUGACAGAUAUCGGAGAGGGUUUGUGUAAAAAGUUAUGAAUAUUUCCGUGAACGUGCCAAAAUGUGCUAACAAUAUUACAGAUGAAGAUUGUGCAUGUCUGCAUAUUGGUUAUUCUUGGUCGCUAUCUUUGCUGAAGAAGAGCUAUCAUUUCAAUAGAAUUAAGCCCUUUUGGUUUCGAAUCUGCAUGCAGUUUAUAUUUCUCGUUAACAGACGACAUCGUGCUUUGUGUGUCGCUACCAGUGGAGCUCAAUCAAUUAAACGUCUUUAAAGUAAGUGGCAUUAAUUAGUAAGAUUGUCGCGUGAAGUCCCUCACGUGCAGACUCAUUAUAUCAUAAUAAACAAUGUUACAACUUGGCGGAUGUGGAUUUCCGUAGAAGUAUACAUGGCUACCUAAAUACCUGUACGUAAUUAGGUCCGGGCAGUGCACGGCCGAUGGAAUGGAAAGUGCGGUUCCAUUGACUAAAACUAAGCGACUGAUCAUCGUUUACUAGUUAUGUUAAUGUAGAAAGUUUUAUUAAUACUGAGUAUGUUUGUAUAGAUAAACUAAUAGUUGUUAACGAAUACCUAAUUUUAAUUAGUAAUGUUGACUCGAAAUACAUCGCCAUUUAACUAGUAAAUACAUUAGUUAAAGUGCAAAAGUAUGUGUUUACUUUAAGAGUCCUAUUAGAUGAUGAUGUUUACUUUCUGAUAAAUAGACUUGAUACGUGCAUCCAGACAUAAAUUCGCAAUAAGUUUAUAGUUGCAUGUAUAAACAAAACGAUGAAAGACAUGAUACUAAGGACAUCGUCGUAUAUUAAUUAAUACAAAACUAUAUCAAUUAGAUUUUACUAGUCCCGAACCAAGAAUAAUGUUAAUUAAACACUUAAAAUAAUUAGUGUCAUCAAAAAUAUGGGCCCGGAGUUCGUAUCAUACGUAUAUUAAUGACACCGACUAUUUGUAUUACCACUCAAAUGUGUCCCAUAUUUAAAUACUAGGGACGAAACAAAUACAUCAAACUUCCGUGUUCAAAACAAUUAAUCUAUAUUAAUAUAAAAGCAAAGCCCUUUUAAUUCAUUCAUAUUUUAUUGAAAAAGUACUUUGAAAUUGACGAUGAUAGAGUAAAAGUAUUAUUAAGUAAUUUAUAGUUUCUUUAGAUGUUGUUGAUUAAAACUGGAAAUCGGUAAAGAGGAGAGGAGACACAGGUGUUGAAAAUCUCACGGGUCAGUUCACUCCGUAGAAUCGUUGAUCAAGUUUCAAAAAAACUCCCAACAACUUUUCUCAGAACAAAACAGUCUAGUUAAUUAAGGGAGAGAACUGUUCAAAGUUAUUGCAAAACAAUUUCUAUUUUACGCUGGUAAUGAUAAUUUAAUGCUACAUGUUCUGAAUUUCUUAGCAGUAUUACUGCUCUUGAUAAGUAUUAGACUAAAUGAGAAAUUAGUUUGUAUCUCUGAAUGCUCAUGUGAAAUUCUAAUAUCUAGAUUUAACUUGUCCAAGUACGACUUUACUAAUCUAAGCUUUGGCUACUUCUAGGUCCGAAUGUUCAGUUCGUUAUGAGUUAGUAACCACGAACUUAAUCUAAGCUCAGAAUCUAAUGGGCUUCUUAAUUAAUUGAAUGUCUUACUUAUCCUUAGAACAUCAUAUCUUUAUAUAUAUAAUUCUUCUGUAAGUGUGUAUGUCACUGAACUUCUCUUAAACGACUGGACCGAUUUUGAUGAAAUUUUUGUGUGUGUUCAAGGGGAUCUGAGAAUGGUUUAGAUUCACAAUUUUGUCCGCUGGAUAAUUUUUAUUUUAAAUUAAUUUUUAAUUUAUUAGUAGUUGUUGUUUUUGGAAUGUUUUACAUUGGAUCCGACAAUUUUUUAAAUUAAAGACGUGUAGACAGGACGUUUGUCGGGUCCGCUAGUCAUAAAUAAAACAAUAAUACGGUAAUUGAUAUCGAAGAAAGUUGUUCAUUUUCAGAUAAAAACAACAUAAACUUAACACCUAGUCUAUUAUUUGCCACAGAGCGGUGUAUUAAUUACAAUAUUCAUUGCUUGCUAAUAAACUAAUAAACCAAUUGACAACGAGCAAAAUAAAAACAUCGUGCGCGCUGCAUUUAGCACCCAAAGGAAAAGAUUAAUACUGGAAGUAUCGCAAAGAGCAAGCAGGUUUUAAUUAAAUUUCUUUAGAUUUAUUGGUACCAUAAAAUUUGUGAAAAUGAACAAAAAUAUAAAUCUUUCGCUUAAAUAAGCUGCACUGAAUGCAAUUAUGAACCGUUUUAUUUAAUAUAGUAGGUAUAAUUUAAUCUAGUAGGUUAUAAUUUAAUCUAGUAAGUACCUAAUAUGGCAAAUAUAAACAAUUUAGGUUAGGUUAGUCGUCCAGUGUUAGAUACAUAAGCUUUUACGUUAUCAGCCAGGGUAUUACAGUAUCAAUUGGGUGAUAGAGAAUUGGAUCGGGUGAUUCGUUGAAUUCUAGUUUCUAUAGAUAGGUGGAUUGCGGAACGUAAAAGCAAACGAACGAAUAGUGUUUGUACUUUUAUUCUAAAACUAACACUUCCAUCGUCAAUAUUAGCUCAAACUAUGCGGGUAUGGUUUCGCAUAAAAUUUUAAAUGUACAUUCGUAAAAAAACGAUGAAACAUGUCCAUGGCUGUUAGCGUACAUUGGAAUAUUUUAGCACGUACCUCACGUCACGCGGUAAAGAAGAAUGUGCAAUACAAAAUAGACCAGCAAAUCAACGGUUUGGCUAGUUGUUAUACAAGUUUCCAAUCAAGGCCGCGCCAUUGUACCUUGUGUAACAAGCUACCCAUUUAGAAUUAUGUUAGCAUUAUGUGUUAAUCGACAAAUAACAUAAAUCAUGUUAUUGUAGGUUUACUAUGUUUUAAAAUAUAUAAUCCGUACUUUUUACUGGUAUUCAUUUGUAUGUUCACAUGAAGCUCAAGUGUGAUAGUCUUUUUUAGGUUAACGUUGCUCUCGGCAAUAAAACCUAAACGUUGCAAUGCUUCUUGAAACUGUCACAUAAACAAAACAAAUAGCUAUUUUGCUUACAUAACACUACCUACUGACCUGAGUUAUAAAAGGCUCUUGCGAAAUUACCAUGCAUCCGACACAUUAUGGGAUAAAUUUAGAUUGGACCGAAGGGAUAUGAUGAAGGAAUUGACUUAGGCACCUCAAGGGUAACGACUGUACGACGAUAUUUCAGCCGAUCGUAAAAUAAUGUAGGGUAAUAACAAAAAGACAUGUCACUGUGUUUGUCAAUUAUUGCAUUUUCAUAAUUUAGUUUUCCUGAACACAGGAGAAAUGAACCCGCAAACUUAACUGCCCGUAAUAAAUAGAUGCACGGGACACGUGUUGAAAUCGUUUAAGAGAGAUUUGAAUUUCAGAUAAAUAGUGUCGUCAGAGUUGUAGGUAGGUGCAUUGCUUCAGUACGGAUAAAGAAAAUACUAAAUUGUCCACUUACAGUUGGAAGUUGAACCUGUUGAAUAUGGUCGAGUAAGUGGUAUGGACGUGGGCGUGUCGGCGGGUCGGUGUAAAUCCGCAAUGCUUCGAGCAGAGGCCGUGGUGGUGCGUAUAAAUUGUGCACGUGUCUUUAGCGAGUAUAAAAUAUCUUUAGGUGAAACAGUAUCAGAUUUUCAGCAUUCAUUUGUACGCAACACAUUUCUGUCCAAUUACAUUGGCGCUAAUAACCAUUUGUGAAAAUAAAUUGGAAAAAGUAACACAAAUAUCCGUUCAAAUGUAAUUAUCAUAUCAGGUACCAACAACAUGAACUCUCUUUUUCGCAAUUUCCUUCAACUCCGGACGGGUACACAAUAAAGUUAAUAUCCGAUGCACUUUCCAGUCAUAUAAAACCCUUUAAGCUCUUUCAAAGGAAACAAUAUUACAUUAUAAAAGAUAUUCCUAAAGCACGGCUUUCGAGGGCUUCGUUGACUUAGCGAGAAAAGAUAUAUUUGAUCCCCUUGAAAACAGCUAGUAUGAAGAAGAAUCAAUAUUUUUAUUGAGAUAACAUCAUAGAGCCUUAGGCUGUAUAUCACAUUUUGUCACAUAUAAAAUGGACAGAAUGUUUCUAUCUUGCAUGGCAUGUUUUCCUCGGAAGUAAUAUUAAAAUUUACGACGAAGACGGUGGAAUGAAUUUCAUUGCAGCAGCAAUAUUAUCUUAAUUUAUUAUUUAUAAGUCACACGAAUAUAACACUCCACUUACCUUACGAACGGAAAGAGUCGAAACAACGACGGAUUUAAGACAAGUUUGAAUUACAGUAGUCAAUAAAAAAGUGCAGUAACUACUAAUCAAGUGUGCAUCUAACUACAUUACGAAGCUCAUUUAAACCCGCAACCACGUGCUGAGAAAAAAAAAACGAAUUGUUCUUCUUUCCUACAAUGAGUACAUCGCCUGCUCUAUAAAGAAAAAAGAACACAACUAGCAAACCAAUGCAUUCGACAGUCAUGCCAGAGUGACUAAGUGUAACACGAAUAAAAAACCUUUUCCUAACUAAAAAAUAACAAAAACGAAGCUGAAAAAAUAUCGAGCCCAGUGUGUUACGUGACUCAAUCAUACAAGGUUAUAAGGGACCCGGUAUUGGUAACUGCCACGUGUGUGUUUGUGUGUGUAUGUGUGUGGAAAAUUAUAAAAUACCAUUUGUUUUUUUGCAAACCAAAACGUGUUGUUAGGUCUAUGUUAAAUUUAAACGUUUAGGUGUAAAAAAACGUUACGUGUUUGUUAAAAAAAGCAACUAAUAUUUUAACCACUCUGUGUUUAGGUGUAAAAUUCUAUCUGAGUAUUGAUAGGUAAAUUGAUUUUAUUUUCUUGAGCGUAGAAAUAAUUUCAUUUUUGCUCACUUCCAUUACACAAGAUUGAAUGACAUUAAAAAAGAAAACUGAAAAUAUUUUCUCAAGGUAGGUUUAAUGAGAAAAUAUUGAAUUUCUUAAUAAAAUGUCUAUCCUACACAAUUUGUUUGAAAGUUCCGCAAACGGAGAGCGCCGUCUUGUAAUUUUUCUAUUUCCUUCGCCCUACUGUCGCAAUUGCGCACAUUUAUGAUAUUUCGUUUGUGGGUGAUGUUUAUCUAUAGUGGCUGCUGUGAGAGCACGAUUGAUUUUUAUUGCAGAUAGUGUACAGUGAAUUCUUUGUAGCAUUCAUUCAUUUAUAGCACAACCACAAAACUGUAUGAUAUUUAAAAUGUAUUUGAAAGAAAUACACAGUGUUGCGAUGUUUUAUAGUGAAAUAGUCUUUGAUCUAUCACACCUAUCUAGGUACUCGGCAAUUCCAUCAACCGCCUGUUGUAUUACACAUACUUUUUUAUUACACAACUCAACAAAAUUUGUUAUUAGGGACGUAUUACAAAAAUCCCACAUCCCGUCAUUUCCCAGAAACAAUGAGUAACGUGUAAUAAGCAAUAUUAGCCUUUCUUUCUCAUUGAAACUUGAUAUUUUCGAUUGUUUUAUACUUAAAAAUGUAAUGGGAACUGUUUAUUCGCAUUUUUUGCAUCAAUACAGUUUGUUUUACUUAGGUAAUGAGAAAAUAUUAAGAAUUGUUUUCAUCCAUAUAAGUAAAUUGAAUAUAUAUAUUUUUUUUGUUUAAAUAAACGAAUAAUGUGGGUUACUGUUAUAUAUUUACAUUUUCAUAUGCUGUAUUUUCCAGUGGGAAAUCCACCAAUAUCGUUUCGUUUUAAAUAACAAUGGUAAUUAUAUGCGUUGGUUAACAUAUAUUGAUAUAUGCACUAAAAUACCAAGAAGCUUCCGAGUAACGCGGACGUGUAAUAUCGGCUUUGAUGGUAAAGUUCACGAGAACAUUCCUCUAGCUGUAGUCGGGGAACUCGUAUUUAGCGAACUAGCAUGACUUACCGGCAAUGCACGCAUUGUUUUCGUCUUAACUAGCGUUUGCUCAAGCACAGCUCGGAAGUGGUGCUCAUGUCCCGAAUAGUUACAAAACAUUCAUGUAACACUAUCCCGGAAUUCAGCUUAUCGCUUUGUAUGCAGUCGCAUCUUGUUACGUAUAAAUUCCCUCGGUUUAUUGGAGUAUAACUUCGUCCUAUACCAACGUUGCAAGCUUUCAUCUUUUUUCAGACAGAAGUGUUGAAAAUGUUUUACAGCAGUAAAUGUUUCAUAACGACAAUACAAAAGUUACUCACUCUCAUCCUAACAAAAAAGUGAAAAAGGCAACCUUUAAUUAAAACUCCAGUGUAAAGCGAUUCAGUCAGAGACUCAUUUCCAGACUGUUUCAAUACAAUACUAGAUACUUAUUUCCUUUUACAAGCUGUUAAGUUGUAAACAAAGGGAAGCAGUUCCUUUGUUUAUUAAUUAAAUCUUAAUUGAUAUUGCCUUACAGUGGGUUCGUUUGACACAAGUAGACCACACUACUUUCAAGUUAGUAGUUUUAAUUUUGAAUCAAAUAAACAAUGGUUUUAGAUUUAGAAUAAUUGAAAGUAUGGCCGCCAGGGGCUGUGAAAGCCUCAAAAGUCACUUUAAAAUUUAAUUCUUUAAAAAUAAAUAUUCCUAUUGCAUGACACUUUUAUAUCUUAUUUUUAAAAAGGGUGUUACUGCAACGGUCUUUCGAACACAAACAAACGUUCACUUUCUAUACGCGUCUAUGAGCAAGCAACAAAAGGCUGCGCAAAGCUACUUAAAUUUAAGCUCUCCAAAGCUUUGCUCGCACUUGCCGCCCCCAGCUGACGUUAGUGGGUUUUAACUGUUCAAAAUGAAUGAAAUGGUGGUGAAAAUGUAAGCACCACCUUUGCUCUUUAAUUUUUUAGGAAUCCAUAUCGAUAGUGUAACAUCGGACUCUGUUAUCUACUAAUACCCAUCAGUUUGUUUGUCAGUCUGUGUGUCUCUGAAUAAACUGCAUUUUAUGAACUGCGAUUGCUGGACACUUAAAACUUUUACUAUAAAAAUACCCAUGCAACAAAUGCGAAGUUCUAUAUUAAUAGCGGCAACAGGUACGUAAAAACUACACUUGAUUUAACAUUUCACUUGGCUUUAAUAAGCAUUUCUCCCGUUUUCAAUAAAUGCGACGGAACCCUUCGAGUCCGAUUCGCACUUAGUUUAAACCGUUCAAAAGUCGCGCAGAAAUGAACAUAAUUUAAUUCUAACUUGUUCUUCUCUGUUUAAUGAAUGCUGUGCACUUGCGAAUAUUUGUUUUAUAAAAGAUUUAUUUUUAAACGUUAAUCUGUUGGUUAACAGGUAUAAACUCCUUCCGGGUAUUAAAUAAAUGAAGCAAAUCUUAGCCAGAGGCGAUAUUAAUAUUAAUAAUAGGCGAUAUAAUUACAAGGUGAUAAUUGAAUAAAGUUUAAUAUCAGUGAAUUUGAGUUACGUUUAAUUUUAUUUUUAUCAGCUUGAAAUUAUGUUAAGUCUAACUUAAAUUCCAUAAACAGACAUCAUAAAUGUAAAAUGGUUACUUGACACCGGUCAUUCGUUUCUGGUAUAAUUUGCAACACAAAAGAAAUUGUAAAGAGCUAAUAUUAAAGCUGCUACAGAACUGAGUAUGGAAGAUUCUACCGGUACAAACAAUUAAACACAAACACACAGCAAGUUAGUAAAAGUUUGCACGAAGACGAAACCCGUAUAUACUGAGCGAGAGUUAAAAAGUUUACUUACAAAAAUAGGUUAUUUCAAAUGGACUUUUCAACUUCAUAAAGAACCUGCAUACGCAACCUACGCAACGUAUAAAAGCUGUUAUUACCCAUAAAUAUUUUUACUGUUGUAAUAUGUGCAAUAACGCAAAGCAAAAAUAUUUUCCGCGUUUAUUUUCAUGUAAACAGUCGUUCGUGGUCGGUUCUAUUUCUAAAGCAGGUUACCUUUUCGAUUCGGAAACAAUCUCUUCGAAAGACUUUGCUUUGUCUUGUGUACACUCGAUAUUACUAAAAUCAGUACCUUUUAACUUACGGUAGGUAAGUUUAUUACCUUUUUCUGCGCCAUUCUGACUAGGUCGCCUUUUGUAUCGUGCCUUUAAUAAAAUUUAUCGACAGCGUCAAGAGAAUUGUACAGAUGUAAUAACUUUUAUUUGAAGUCCUAUUGGAUAGAUUUUUUAAAGAAAUUGCUCCUUAUUGCUGUUUGAGUGUUUUGUUUGAAAACAAAUAAUUAUGUUAUUGAAGUUGAGUAUAUUAUUCGUUUUAGAGAGUAGUCUUUACUUUAUUUGUAAACAAUAUUCGGAGAUUUACUGUUUUUCGUACGAAAAAGUUCAUUGACAUGAAAAUUUUAAGUGUUUCACGUGUGACGUCACAGCCGCUAGCAGGUGUGCUCUACUGACACACAAAAUACUACAAAACGAAGACGUACCGGCGACGAGAGAAUAGAAGCCGCGUCACUUUUAUUUGUCUUACCCAAUCCAUUAGACACGACCAAUUAACCAUUCCUACGGAUACAGUCCAUAUUUAAGUGUUGGUAGUCUUUUUCAAUCAUGUCGAUUUUAUGCACCAUAAUAACCCUGGCAUCAUACCAAAAAUUCUGGUAGAAUGUAUGUCGACGUUAUUAGAUUAAGGGACAAUAAACUGUAAACAUUAGCACAGCGUAUUGUUCAUCAGGGUAAGACAACAGGUUAUGAAUAUAAUAUCAGUAGUUACUAACUAUACCAAAGAGGUACUGUCGUCUCAUCCGUGCGUUAUAGAGAAAAUCGAUUAUUCGAAACAAAGCGCGCGGACGCUUCCUGCUUGUCCAUGUUGGUGUACCAGAAUAGAUCAAUAAUCCAAAAUAGAUUUAAUACAGCACAUCCGGUGCAUUUACUAGUUAAUAUUUUAGUAUUAUAGAUUUACUAUGCACCGUUCAUUAGAUGAAUACAGAUCAAUUAUUUACAGCAUUUAUGCAGAGGUAAACACAAACACAGUAUGCACAUACCAAGCUCCCAGAUAUGACUGUUUGAAUUGAUUAUCCACCCCGCAAUUAGGUAUGUGCAAUUAAUUAGUUGAAUUUUCAAACACAUAUUAAAUUGGAGCAUUAAUUUAAUAUUUUUGUAUAUGUUCUUUGUACAGCUUCUACUCUUAACAACAUUUUACUCAAAUCACUGAACGUGUCAGUUAGUCAUGCAUAGACUGGUAACAUGGACAAUGGACAUGGAUUUUUGUUAAUGGAGGCUUCUCAUGUUUCAUUUACUAUAGUGGGCCGAACAUUCGUACCUUUCAGCUCUAUGCGAAUUUUUACAAGUAUACCUACAACCUUCCCUAAACAUUUUUGGCUAAAUUGAUGGACUAUUAAAAUCUUUUUCACCAAUAAAGAAACAAUUAAACUUUCUUUAAAGAGUAGUCCACAGCUAGAUCAUACAAAAAUAAAACGCGGAUCGACAGCAAAAUGGAGAUUCCUGGAGUAACAUUCAGAGUAAAACAAAAAGAAAUGAAACAAUGGCGCGCAGUUGUGGUUCUUUAGCGAGUUAAGGAGCUUAUACGUCUGGGACACUGCACAAACAUUUAUUCUUGAAGUCGAAGGAAAAAUAUUUUAUGUAAACGAGCUACAAUUUUCCCAGCAGGGAUCAGAAUAACCAGCAAGUUUUUAUUUUAAACUAACUUUUCACAGACGCUUACUGUGAAUAAAAAUGUGCAACAAUAGAAGUUCACUUAUCUUAGUUUGAACCUAAACAUUUUUGGCUAAAUUGAUGGACUAUUAAAAUCUUUUUCACCAAUAAAGAAACAAUUAAACUUUCUUUAAAGAGUAGUCCACAGCUAGAUCAUACAAAAAUAAAACGCGGAUCGACAGCAAAAUGGAGAUUCCUGGAGUAACAUUCAGAGUAAAACAAAAAGAAAUGAAACAAUGGCGCGCAGUUGUGGUUCUUUAGCGAGUCCUAUCUGUCGCAUCGUGAGACCGUACCGAUAAACUGCAUCAAGAUUCAAUAAACAAUACUUCUCACUUAAAAUAUCCAGAUGGGUAAACUGGUAUAUUGUAUUGAUAUUUUUUCUUAAGUAACCGGUUUUUGUUUGCUAAAGUAGAUACUUAGCAUGGUUUUUUUUUUGCUUCUAAUGUAAAUAUGUACAUUUGAGUUAAAUGGUCUUCGAAAACGUGUGUCGUGUGUAAUAUAUAUAGGGAAUGAUUGUAUGAAAAAAAAUGUGCACAAAUGAGAUUCAUCUUAAAACGAAUGCUUCAAACAAAUUACUGUCUGCGGCUCAAAAAGUGAUCAAGCACUUACAAAGAGCGCGAAGAUAAGCAAGCGCCCUCAUUACACGGAUUGGGACAUUAGAGAUGCAACAAUUUCAUCAGUACAGCUUUCCUGUUACGAAACAUUAACAUACGAGUACCGUAAUAGUUUUUUUAAACCAUUGGCCUAUAUUUGACGAAGGCGUAACGUAUCGUUUGCUACCCGUUAUUUGUUUUUCACAGUUCCGUGAGAUAACUGGGUGUAAUUAAAGAUACUUGUGAAGAUUUAGUGAGUUGGUGUACAGCGAACCGAUCAAUUACCAAUGUUGUUUAUUAAGAAAACGAGGCGUGUAAACUAAUUUUCUUUAUCGUUUAACGAUUCAUACAACUUGUACUAGUUCGUACUUAAUAUGUCGGUUGCCGGCUAGUUGUUAAGUGAGAUCUAAUUUAUGACUUUUCGUUUUAGUAUGUAAUUACAUUGUAUUUUGUUCGUAUGAAAAACUUGACAGACGGUUAAUUCAGUUUUGAUGUUCUAUUUUACUUACAACCCUAUUCUGGCUCCGUAUCAUUGUACAUAUUAGCGUAUGAGCCAUUUUGUUUGGUACACAAAAUUAUUUUUAAUAAAGUAACGAGCAAGUGUAGAUUACUCCAAUGCAAUGGUGCAACGGAGUUACCCGAGGCGGUUUGUGUACAGUAAUUUCAUGUUUCUUUUUAAACCAGACUAAAUUCUAGACAUAGCGGUGUGAGGGAACUUCGUCUCUAUAUCAGUAUUGCAAUAGUCUAUUAUUACUUACAUACUUACAUACAUAUGUAUGUAUGUAUAUAAGUCGCACGUUCGUGCAGCUGCCACACAAUUAAACUUUUUGAACGCUCCUGAAAUUUACUGCACAAUUAGUGUGCGUAAUGAGUGAACACUCGCAAUUUGUUAUUGAUAACCAAUGUCGUCUAUGUUCGAGAAAAUUGUUUGAUAUACAUUUGAGUGUAACGCAAGUUUAAUGAUUUAAUUGCUUCAAUGAAAUAGGUAAUUUCAUUUUAUCUUGACGCGAAUUAUUUUACGACAUUAUAGAGCGCUAUAACGACAACCGAUUUCAAUUAGAUUAAGGAAAAACUUUUGACAUUACGUUGCAAUUAAAUAUGAAUAUUAUUAAUAUUAUAUUAAAGUAAAAUAAAAUUCUGUAUAUUAUGAAUUAACGCCCAACGUCUAACUCAUUAUUUAGAAAGAGAGCGCGAAACCUCUUCUGUUGGAUUUUUGUGCUCGAGAGUAUCAUUAAAAUGUAUCCUGUCUACAUCCUGUAGUGUCGGGUGAGAGUGUUUGUGUGCAUGUCUGUGGCAACUACCAAUCGUAGGGCUCCAUUUCGGAUACCUGAAUGGUAUCUCUUCUCAUUGUGCGUGACGCGGCGAUGUGUGCGUCGGUUCCUCGUGUGCUGUCGGCUGCU
Molecule: long non-coding RNA, 12873 nt
Organism: Spodoptera frugiperda (fall armyworm)
Lineage: Eukaryota; Metazoa; Arthropoda; Insecta; Lepidoptera; Noctuidae
Exons: 2
Source: RefSeq, a predicted model, not a curated record